Molecule: ribosomal RNA, 497 nt
Filed under: uncultured bacterium
Lineage: Bacteria
Description: partial 16S ribosomal RNA
Rfam family: Bacterial small subunit ribosomal RNA
Source: RNAcentral
GACGAACGCUGGCGGCGUGCCUAAUACAUGCAAGUUGAGCGCUGAAGGUUGGUACUUGUACCAACUGGAUUAGCAGCGAACGGGUGAGUAACGCGUGGGGAAUCUGCCUUUGAGCGGGGGACAACAUUUGGAAACGAAUGCUAAUACCGCAUAAAAACUUUAAACACAAGUUUUAAGUUUGAAAGAUGCAAUUGCAUUACUCAAAGAUGAUCCCGCGUUGUAUUAGCUAGUUGGUGAGGUAAAGGCUCACCAAGGCGAAGAUACAUAACCGACCUGAGAAGGUGGUCGGCCCAAUUGGGACUGAGACAACGCCCAAACUCCUACGGGAGGCAGCAGUAGGGAAUCUUCGGCCAUGGACGAAAGUCUGAACGAGCAACGCCGCGUGAGUGAAGAAGGUUUUCGGAUCGUAAAAAUCUGUUGGUAGGGAAGAAAGUUGGUGAGAGUGGAAAGCGCAUCAAGUGACGGUAACUACCCAGAAAGGGACGGCUAACUACGUG